GCAGCUUCUUGGGGGCAGUUCAGUGCUUCUUUCCCCCUUUCCCUGCAAAUGGAAAGGCUGUCAAAGACCAAGGAGAUGCUGCUACAGAGAGGGAAGCGCAAAAACAGGCAUGAAGUUAGAUGGUUGCAAACACGGGGGCUCUGCUUCUGGAAUUGUAUUCAUCAUCCCAGGGGUUCCUUUCCUUUCCCUUCCUUUCUGAGACCGAUGCAAAGAAAGCGUCAUUUGAGAAAAGGGGAACCGCUCAUGGUAAGGCUUGAAUGAGCAACUCAUCCUCAGCCUGCUACACCUAAUGUGCUCGAGGGCUUUCCCAGAUGAACAUCUGAAACAACUGCGAUCUUCCCUGUGCCACUGCACCAUUUCUCCAGUUCCCGCUUUUAAAAAUACAUCCGUCUGUGGAAUUUGGCAUAUUCGAAGCAAAGAAGGCGCACGGUGACGUUCAUCACAUCUCAGUCGUGUUGGCCAUGUCUGGACAUUACCAUAAGCUGCAUUCUGGAGGGGGAAACCAGGCAUGCCUUCCCUGCGUUCCCCCACCCCCUCACCUCCUUUCCGCAAGACCGCAAAGAAGAGACUGGGCACCUUUGCUUCAUCCUUUGAUUAACUGUGGCUUGCUGUGCGAAGCUUGAGUCCGGCAAGCUUCAGUUAACCUUAACUAUGCUGUGCUUGAAUCAAGCAGAUCGCAAGCCACCGGUUGUGUUUUCUAACAAGCUUCAGACAGUUGCAUUAGGGUUUCAAUCAACUCAUUGCUUCAUCUCCUUCUCACGCCAGCCGCAGGCUGGGCUGAUUCCCAUCGUGAGCAAUUACUGUUGCCAUGAUGACCCUGCACGGCCAUGAGCGACACUCCUAAGGAGUAUUGUGACUUGCUCUUACGUAAACGCUGGAGGUAGCUAUGAAUACACAAAGGGUGCGCUUAGGUAUUGCACCCUUCCAUGAAUUAUACUAUAAAGGGCUACGCACUGGAUUAUCAGCAAGUCUAUGAGGAAUAAGUUGUGGCAAUUUACUCACCCUUUACUAAUGGUAUGUGUGAAUAGCUGAAAACUGCCAGGUGUGGGCUGACUGUAUGGAAGUGCUUGGCAAAGUAAGUAAAAUUUGGGAGACCAGCAAAAAUGUCUCCUCAGAGUUUUUUUUAAGAACAUUCACCAUGCUCCUUAGGACAACAUGUGAACAAGAGCUUCAGUGGCAAUACAUUUUAACGGGGAGCAACCAGAAACAUCUGUAGCAACAGUCACAAGUGCUGGUUCACCUCCAGAUGUGCAAUCGGACUCCACAGCAAAGCACCGUGCAAGAGGAGACAUGCAGGGUUCCUAUCAGAUGCCUGAUCUGUGAGGGCUUAAGCUCAUUUGAGCUAUGACUGCAAUCUUUCCAUACACGGCCUGAAGAGCACCUGUGCUCAGUUUGGAUCAAGCUCAUCAUGGGACAAGAAGUGCUGGAUCCUCUUCAGAGAAACACUUGCCUGGGGAACACAAUGCCAGUUGGUGUGUGAAUGAGAAAGGACCUUUUGUGAACGGUGUGACCAGUUCUUGCUCCCAAGACUACAAGCAAGCCUGGCUGAGCAAAAAACUCAAAGAGGGACAGGAAAGCAGGUGGUGGCUGUGAAAGCAGUUUGGUUCCCCUCCCUGUGGGCCUCUGCUCCUGUAGAAAUUGGAUUCCUUAUUCUAGAAUAAUAGGAAGCGAGACCUGGACUGGCACUUUGUCCAGGAUGGAGAGCAGCAGGGACCAGAUUCUGCCCCUGUUUAUUUUCCCAGGAGGAAAAAGAUGGGCAAUGAAUUCGCACAGCACUGAACCUCAAGGAGGACAGCAAGCAAGGAUCAGCCCUUCCUCACAUUUUCUCCUGUACAGCCUGACUCAGCACUGCAGGCCGCUCCCCGAGAGAAAUCUGGCUGAUAGUGCAAACAAGGUGAAGCAAGGGAGCUGCGGUCUGCCUGGGGCUGCUGUGCCAUCAUGCAGAGCAGGCACAGUCCGGGUGGCUUGUUUCAAAAACGGUAUCAGUGAGAUUGGAAAAAAUACAGAGAAAACGAUUAACAUUGUCAGAUGAUUUUCCCUUAAGAAAAGAUAAAGGUCUUGGAGACUUGUGAUGCAGAAGACAUAAUAAGCUGGAGGACGGACCUGAGCCUUACCCAAGGAGAAGUAAGGCUGGCAAGCAAGUGCUGCAGUUCAGGGUUCCAACCAGCCUGGCAGGAUCUUUUCCCCAGCACUCCGUUCCAUUUCAACCCUCCUCAAUUUUCUAUUUUUUCUUCCACCACAGUCAGACAGUGUUCCAUGCUCAGUUAUUUAUUAUUUUUAUAUCCUGCCUUUUUCCUUCCCAGGAACUCAAGGCCCCUUUCCUAAUUCUUGUCCUCCUCUCAGUCUUAUUCUCACAGAAGAACCCAGUGAGGCUGGCU
Varanus komodoensis (Komodo dragon) is the source of this 2378-nucleotide long non-coding RNA. RefSeq lists it as uncharacterized. NCBI's taxonomy places the organism in Eukaryota, Metazoa, Chordata, Lepidosauria, Squamata, Varanidae. The transcript is spliced from 4 exons. The record is from RefSeq and is a predicted model, not a curated record.